UAAGGAAUAUUGGUCAAUGGACGCAAGUCUGAACCAGCCAUGCCGCGUGGAGGAUGAAGGUCCUCUGGAUUGUAAACUUCUUUUAUCUGGGAAGAAAUCCACGAAUUCUUUUGUGGUUGACGGUACCAGAUGAAUAAGCACCGGCUAACUCCGUGCCAGCAGCCGCGGUAAUACGGAGGGUGCAAGCGUUAUCCGGAUUCACUGGGUUUAAAGGGUGCGUAGGUGGGCAGGUAAGUCAGUGGUGAAAUCUCCGGGCUUAACUCGGAAACUGCCAUUGAUACUAUCUUUCUUGAAUACCGUGGAGGUCAGCGGAAUAUGUCAUGUAGCGGUGAAAUGCUUAGAUAUGACAUAGAACACCAAUUGCGAAGGCAGCUGGCUACACGAAUAUUGACACUGAUGCACGAAAGCGUGGGGAUCAAACAGGAUUAGAUACCCUGGUAGUCCACGCCCUAAACGAUGGAUACUCGACAUACGCGAUAUACUGUGUGUGUCUGAGCGAAAGCAUUAAGUAUCCCACCUGGGAAGUACGAUCGCAAGAUUGA
RNAcentral lists this ribosomal RNA (542 nucleotides) under uncultured Chitinophagaceae bacterium. RNAcentral describes it as "bacterial SSU rRNA". It matches the Rfam family "Bacterial small subunit ribosomal RNA", at positions 355 to 897 of the family's 1533-position model. The record is from RNAcentral. Lineage: Bacteria; Pseudomonadati; Bacteroidota; Chitinophagia; Chitinophagales; Chitinophagaceae.